This 653-nucleotide ribosomal RNA is filed under the name bacterium M00.F.Ca.ET.180.01.1.1. RNAcentral describes it as "bacterial SSU rRNA". It matches the Rfam family "Bacterial small subunit ribosomal RNA", at positions 103 to 791 of the family's 1533-position model. The record is from RNAcentral.
CGGGUGAGUAACGCGUGGGAAUCUACCCAUCUCUACGGAACAACUCCGGGAAACUGGAGCUAAUACCGUAUACGUCCUUCGGGAGAAAGAUUUAUCGGAGAUGGAUGAGCCCGCGUUGGAUUAGCUAGUUGGUGGGGUAAUGGCCUACCAAGGCGACGAUCCAUAGCUGGUCUGAGAGGAUGAUCAGCCACACUGGGACUGAGACACGGCCCAGACUCCUACGGGAGGCAGCAGUGGGGAAUAUUGGACAAUGGGCGAAAGCCUGAUCCAGCCAUGCCGCGUGAGUGAUGAAGGCCCUAGGGUUGUAAAGCUCUUUCAACGGUGAAGAUAAUGACGGUAACCGUAGAAGAAGCCCCGGCUAACUUCGUGCCAGCAGCCGCGGUAAUACGAAGGGGGCUAGCGUUGUUCGGAAUUACUGGGCGUAAAGCGCACGUAGGCGGAUACUUAAGUCAGGGGUGAAAUCCCGGGGCUCAACCCCGGAACUGCCUUUGAUACUGGGUAUCUGGAGUCCGGAAGAGGUGAGUGGAAUUCCGAGUGUAGAGGUGAAAUUCGUAGAUAUUCGGAGGAACACCAGUGGCGAAGGCGGCUCACUGGUCCGGUACUGACGCUGAGGUGCCAAAGCGUGGGGAGCAAACAGCAUUAGAUACCAUGGU